GGGUUGUUGCUGGUUCUCUAGGGAGCAUUGUGCACACCUAUCAUCUUUAUAUCUCCCCCUGUGCACCUUUUGUAGACCCCCCGGGGUCUAUGUUGCUUCAUUUACCCCAAUGUAUGUUAAUAGAAUGUAUGUGCCUAUGAAAUCUAUACAACUUUCAGCAACGGAUCUCUUGGCUCUCGCAUCGAUGAAGAACGCAGCGAAAUGCGAUAAGUAAUGUGAAUUGCAGAAUUCAGUGAAUCAUCGAAUCUUUGAACGCACCUUGCGCUCCUUGGUAUUCCGAGGAGCAUGCCUGUUUGAGUGUCAUUAAAUAUAUCAACCCCUCUUGUUGAGUGGCUUGGAUGUGGGGGUUUUGCUGGCCUCUCAAAAAGGUUCAGCUCUCCUGAAAUGCAUUAGCAGAACAACCUGUUCGUUCAUUGGUGUGAUAACUAUCUACGCUAUUGAAUGUGGGGCAGUUCAGCUUCUUAACAGUCCUUGGACAAUUUAUCAUUUUAUGUGACCUCAAAUCAGGUAGGACUACCCG
This 520-nucleotide ribosomal RNA is filed under the name Cortinarius sp. YM123. RNAcentral's name for it is "eukaryotic LSU rRNA". The stretch from base 150 to 303 matches the Rfam family "5.8S ribosomal RNA". The record is from RNAcentral. Lineage: Eukaryota; Fungi; Basidiomycota; Agaricomycetes; Agaricales; Cortinariaceae.